This 253-nucleotide ribosomal RNA is filed under the name uncultured bacterium. RNAcentral's name for it is "partial 16S ribosomal RNA". It matches the Rfam family "Bacterial small subunit ribosomal RNA", at positions 524 to 776 of the family's 1533-position model. The record is from RNAcentral.
UACGUAGGGGGCAAGCGUUGUCCGGAAUCAUUGGGCGUAAAGAGCGCGUAGGCGGUCCGGUAAGUCCGCUGUGAAAGUCAAGGGCUCAACCCUUGAAUGCCGGUGGAUACUGUCGGGCUAGAGUCCGGAAGAGGCGAGUGGAAUUCCUGGUGUAGCGGUGAAAUGCGCAGAUAUCAGGAAGAACACCGGUGGCGAAGGCGGCUCUCUGGAACGGUACUGACGCUGAGACGCGAAAGCGUGGGGAGCGAACAGG